Molecule: ribosomal RNA, 543 nt
Filed under: Streptomyces sp. E119
Lineage: Bacteria; Bacillati; Actinomycetota; Actinomycetes; Kitasatosporales; Streptomycetaceae
Description: bacterial SSU rRNA
Rfam family: Bacterial small subunit ribosomal RNA
Source: RNAcentral
GAACGCUGGCGGCGUGCUUAACACAUGCAAGUCGAACGAUGAAGCCCUUCGGGGUGGAUUAGUGGCGAACGGGUGAGUAACACGUGGGCAAUCUGCCCUUCACUCUGGGACAAGCCCUGGAAACGGGGUCUAAUACCGGAUAACACCGGCUUCCGCAUGGGAGCUGGUUGAAAGCUCCGGCGGUGAAGGAUGAGCCCGCGGCCUAUCAGCUUGUUGGUGGGGUAAUGGCCUACCAAGGCGACGACGGGUAGCCGGCCUGAGAGGGCGACCGGCCACACUGGGACUGAGACACGGCCCAGACUCCUACGGGAGGCAGCAGUGGGGAAUAUUGCACAAUGGGCGAAAGCCUGAUGCAGCGACGCCGCGUGAGGGAUGACGGCCUUCGGGUUGUAAACCUCUUUCAGCAGGGAAGAAGCGAAAGUGACGGUACCUGCAGAAGAAGCGCCGGCUAACUACGUGCCAGCAGCCGCGGUAAUACGUAGGGCGCAAGCGUUGUCCGGAAUUAUUGGGCGUAAAGAGCUCGUAGGCGGCUUGUCACGUCGG